RNAcentral lists this small RNA (300 nucleotides) under Synechococcus sp. JA-2-3B'a(2-13). Its description in RNAcentral is "5' ureB small RNA". It matches the Rfam family "5' ureB small RNA". The record is from Rfam by way of RNAcentral. Lineage: Bacteria; Bacillati; Cyanobacteriota; Cyanophyceae; Synechococcales; Synechococcaceae.
CAAACUCGCACAGCUGCGGACAGAUGAAAUGCACAUGGGCAUCGAUCCCGCCCGCUGUCAGGAUCAGGUUUUCCCCGGCAAUCACCUCAGUGCUGGGGCCAACCACCAUGCCCGGCGUCACCCCCGCUUGGAUGUUGGGGUUGCCGGCUUUGCCAAUGCCGACAAUGUAGCCAUCGCGAAUGCCCACAUCCGCCUUGACAAUGCCCCACCAGUCCAGGAUCAGGGCGUUGGUGAUCACCAGAUCCAAGGCCCCGUUGGCGCGGGUGGCCGUCGGCGAUUGCCCCAUGCCAUCGCGGAUGG